This 497-nucleotide ribosomal RNA is filed under the name uncultured bacterium. Its description in RNAcentral is "partial 16S ribosomal RNA". It matches the Rfam family "Bacterial small subunit ribosomal RNA", at positions 28 to 507 of the family's 1533-position model. The record is from RNAcentral.
GAUGAACGCUGGCGGCGUGCCUAAUACAUGCAAGUCGAGCGAACGGACGAGAAGCUUGCUUCUCUGAUGUUAGCGGCGGACGGGUGAGUAACACGUGGAUAACCUACCUAUAAGACUGGGAUAACUUCGGGAAACCGGAGCUAAUACCGGCUAAUAUUUUGAACCGCAUGGUUCAAAAGUGAAAGACGGUCUUGCUGUCACUUAUAGAUGGAUCCGCGCUGCAUUAGCUAGUUGGUAAGGUAACGGCUUACCAAGGCAACGAUGCAUAGCUGACCUGAGAGGGUGAUCGGCCACACUGGAACUGAGACACGGUCCAGACUCCUACGGGAGGCAGCAGUAGGGAAUCUUCCGCAAUGGGCGAAAGCCUGACGGAGCAACGCCGCGUGAGUGAUGAAGGUCUUCGGAUCGUAAAACUCUGUUAUUAGGGAAGAACAUAUGUGUAAGUAACUGUGCACAUCUUGACGGUACCUAAUCAGAAAGCCACGGCUAACUACGUG